Molecule: long non-coding RNA, 852 nt
Filed under: Homo sapiens (human)
Lineage: Eukaryota; Metazoa; Chordata; Mammalia; Primates; Hominidae
Description: long intergenic non-protein coding RNA 1192
Source: RNAcentral
GCUGUUGCUGGGAGUGGGAAAGAGGUGGCAUCGGCGGUUCAAGACUGAGUUUUCUAUCUCUUCAGUGCCUCUUUCAACAAUGAAGAUCAAACCAGGUUUUGUGCAAAUAUCUGCUGAGUGAACUACUUAUUUGAAAAUACAUCAUUGGUUAAUAUUCCCUUUUGCUCAUUGAAAUCUCAAAGACUACAGACCCCGCACAAGACAUUCUGACAUUCCCGUCUUUGAAAUGAAUGACAGCAAUGAUAAAUAUGGCUCACCUCCAGAGAUACAGAUCUCACAACUUCAUAUUUUUAAUAUAAAUUAUUAAUCUGAGUUUCCAGAAGCAGAGAGAGAUAAGACCCAUGAUAAUCAAGCCAUAAACAGAUGCAUUUACUAGCUGAAUGGCCAACAAUGGAAUUCAACAAAUCCAUCUUGAGCACGGCAGCCAGGAGUGUGGUGCAAUUCCAUUAGAUGAAAGAGAUCUACACAUUCAGAAGCACAUGAUUCUUCCCCCUUCCAUGAUUCCAGUGGCCAAUAGACAAACUACAAUAAAGCCAUGCCCUGACUGGAUGUGCCUAACAUUUGUCUGGUGCUUAAAGGAGUUGGCUGCAUGCGUGGGAUGGAGAAGGAUUCAACAUUUAAUGGCAGUUAGAAUCAAAUUUUUAACUCAAGAAGGCAGAAGGAAUCCACCUAAAUAAAUGUUGGAAAGUCACCAAAAAUAGUUCUCCAAGUCAGAAGCGGUGCAAAAGCUGCCUCAGCUCUUGGUGGAUUUUCAAUUUCUCCCAGCCAUCUCUGUUUCGCUAAAGGUUUCUGAAGACAGUGGGUAUGUGGCAAACUUCUGCAAUUCUAUAUUAAGAUAAACUGUUAGAUCAA